RNAcentral lists this ribosomal RNA (400 nucleotides) under uncultured bacterium. RNAcentral describes it as "bacterial SSU rRNA". It matches the Rfam family "Bacterial small subunit ribosomal RNA", at positions 29 to 406 of the family's 1533-position model. The record is from RNAcentral.
AACGAACGCUGGCGGCGUGCCUAACACAUGCAAGUCGUGCGAGAAAGUUCCUUUGGGAGCGAGUAAAGCGGCGCACGGGUGAGUAACACGUAGGUAACCUGCCCCCCAGUCUGGAACAACUAGAGGAAACUACUAGCUAAUAGCCGGAUGAGACCACGAUCCCUUCGGGGUUGGCGGCCAAAGAAUGGCCUCUACUUGUAAGCUAUCGCUGAGGGAUGGGCCGUGCGGGCCGAUUAGCUUGUUGGUGAGGUAACGGCUCACCAAGGCUGUGAUGGCUAGCUGGUCUGAGAGGAUGACCAGCCACACUGGGACUGAGACACGGCCCAGACUCCUACGGGAGGGCAGCAGUGGGGAAUAUUGCGCAAUGGGUGAAAGCCUGACGCAGCGACGCCGCGUGGGU